This 497-nucleotide ribosomal RNA is filed under the name uncultured bacterium. RNAcentral's name for it is "partial 16S ribosomal RNA". It matches the Rfam family "Bacterial small subunit ribosomal RNA", at positions 28 to 507 of the family's 1533-position model. The record is from RNAcentral.
GAUGAACGCUGGCGGCGUGCCUAAUACAUGCAAGUCGAGCGAACAGACGAGGAGCUUGCUCCUCUGACGUUAGCGGCGGACGGGUGAGUAACACGUGGAUAACCUACCUAUAAGACUGGGAUAACUUCGGGAAACCGGAGCUAAUACCGGAUAAUAUAUUGAACCGCAUGGUUCAAUAGUGAAAGACGGUUUUGCUGUCACUUAUAGAUGGAUCCGCGCCGCAUUAGCUAGUUGGUAAGGUAACGGCUUACCAAGGCAACGAUGCGUAGCCGACCUGAGAGGGUGAUCGGCAACACUGGAACUGAGACACGGUCCAGACUCCUACGGGAGGCAGCAGUAGGGAAGCUGCAGCAAUGGGCGAAAGCCUGACGGAGCAACGCCGCGUGAGUGAUGAAGGUCUUCGGAUCGUAAAACUCUGUUAUUAGGGAAGAACAAAUGUGUAAGUAACUAUGCACGUCUUGACGGUACCUAAUCAGAAAGCCACGGCUAACUACGUG